Molecule: transfer RNA, 72 nt
Filed under: Camelus ferus (Wild Bactrian camel)
Lineage: Eukaryota; Metazoa; Chordata; Mammalia; Artiodactyla; Camelidae
Rfam family: tRNA
About the family: Transfer RNA (tRNA) molecules are approximately 80 nucleotides in length. Their secondary structure includes four short double-helical elements and three loops (D, anti-codon, and T loops). Further hydrogen bonds mediate the characteristic L-shaped molecular structure. tRNAs have two regions of fundamental functional importance: the anti-codon, which is responsible for specific mRNA codon recognition, and the 3' end, to which the tRNAs corresponding amino acid is attached (by aminoacyl-tRNA synthetases). tRNAs cope with the degeneracy of the genetic code in two manners: having more than one tRNA (with a specific anti-codon) for a particular amino acid; and 'wobble' base-pairing, i.e. permitting non-standard base-pairing at the 3rd anti-codon position.
Source: Rfam by way of RNAcentral
GAGGGUAUUGCUCAGUGGUAGAGUGCAUGCUUAGCAUGUGUGAGGUCCUGGGUUCAAUUCCCAGUACCUCCA